CCUACAUGAAGCUGGAGUUACUAGUAAUCGCAGAUCAGAAUGCUGCGGUGAAUGCGUUCCCGGGUCUUGUACACACCGCCCGUCACACCAUGGGAGCCGGUAAUACCCGAAGUCAGUAGUCCAACCUCGUGAGGACGCUGCCGAAGGUAGGAUUGGCGACUGGGGUGAAGUCGUAACAAGGUAUC
RNAcentral lists this ribosomal RNA (185 nucleotides) under uncultured bacterium. RNAcentral's name for it is "partial 16S ribosomal RNA". It matches the Rfam family "Bacterial small subunit ribosomal RNA", at positions 1315 to 1500 of the family's 1533-position model. The record is from RNAcentral.